GAUGAACGCUGGCGGCGUGCCUAAUACAUGCAAGUCGAGCGAACGGACGAGAAGCUUGCUUCUCUGAUGUUAGCGGCGGGCGGGUGAGUAACACGUGGAUAACCUACCUAUAAGACUGGGAUAACUUCGGGAAACCGGAGCUAAUACCGGAUAAUAUUUUGAACCGCAUGGUUCAAAAGUGGAAGACGGUCUUGCUGUCACUUAUAGAUGGAUCCGCGCUGCAUUAGCUAGUUGGUAAGGUAACGGCUUACCAAGGCAACGAUGCAUAGCCGACCUGAGAGGGUGAUCGGCCACACUGGAACUGAGACACGGUCCAGACUCCUACGGGAGGCAGCAGUAGGGAAUCUUCCGCAAUGGGCGAAAGCCUGACGGAGCAACGCCGCGUGAGUGAUGAAGGUCUUCGGAUCGUAAAACUCUGUUAUUAGGGAAGAACAUAUGUGUAAGUAACUGUGCACAUCUUGACGGUACCUAAUCAGAAAGCCACGGCUAACUACGUGCCAGCAGCCGCGGUAAUACGUAGGUGGCAAGCGUUAUCCGGAAUUAUUGGGCGUAAAGCGCGCGUAGGCGGUUUUUUAAGUCUGAUGUGAAAGCCCACGGCUCAACCGUGGAGGGUCAUUGGAAACUGGAAAACUUGAGUGCAGAAGAGGAAAGUGGAAUUCCAUGUGUAGCGGUGAAAUGCGCAGAGAUAUGGAGGAACACCAGUGGCGAAGGCGACUUUCUGGUCUGUAACUGGCGCUGAUGUGCGAAAGCGUGGGGAUCAAACAGGAUUAGAUACCCUGGUAGUCCACGCCGUAAACGAUGAGUGCUAAGUGUUAGGGGGUUUCCGCCCCUUAGUGCUGCAGCUAACGCAUUAAGCACUCCGCCUGGGGAGUACGACCGCAAGGUUGAAACUCAAAGGAAUUGACGGGGACCCGCACAAGCGGUGGAGCAUGUGGUUUAAUUCGAAGCAACGCGAAGAACCUUACCAAAUCUUGACAUCCUUUGACAACUCUAGAGAUAGAGCCUUCCCCUUCGGGGGACAAAGUGACAGGUGGUGCAUGGUUGUCGUCAGCUCGUGUCGUGAGAUGUUGGGUUAAGUCCCGCAACGAGCGCAACCCUUAAGCUUAGUUGCCAUCAUUAAGUUGGGCACUCUAAGUUGACUGCCGGUGACAAACCGGAGGAAGGUGGGGAUGACGUCAAAUCAUCAUGCCCCUUAUGAUUUGGGCUACACACGUGCUACAAUGGACAAUACGAAGGGCAGCGAAACCGCGAGGUCAAGCAAAUCCCAUAAAGUUGUUCUCAGUUCGGAUUGUAGUCUGCAACUCGACUACAUGAAGCUGGAAUCGCUAGUAAUCGUAGAUCAGCAUGCUACGGUGAAUACGUUCUCGGGUCU
Molecule: ribosomal RNA, 1372 nt
Filed under: uncultured bacterium
Lineage: Bacteria
Description: bacterial SSU rRNA
Rfam family: Bacterial small subunit ribosomal RNA
Source: RNAcentral